CACUCCUACGGGAGGCAGCAGUGGGGAAUAUUGCACAAUGGGCGCAAGCCUGAUGCAGCCAUGCCGCGUGUAUGAAGAAGGCCUUCGGGUUGUAAAGUACUUUCAGCGGGGAGGAAGGCGAUAAGGUUAAUAACCUUGUCGAUUGACGUUACCCGCAGAAGAAGCACCGGCUAACUCCGUGCCAGCAGCCGCGGUAAUACGGAGGGUGCAAGCGUUAAUCGGAAUUACUGGGCGUAAAGCGCACGCAGGCGGUCUGUCAAGUCGGAUGUGAAAUCCCCGGGCUCAACCUGGGAACUGCAUUCGAAACUGGCAGGCUAGAGUCUUGUAGAGGGGGGUAGAAUUCCAGGUGUAGCGGUGAAAUGCGUAGAGAUCUGGAGGAAUACCGGUGGCGAAGGCGGCCCCCUGGACAAAGACUGACGCUCAGGUGCGAAAGCGUGGGGAGCAAACAGGAUUAGAAACCCGAGUAGUCCCAU
This 473-nucleotide ribosomal RNA is filed under the name uncultured organism. Its description in RNAcentral is "partial 16S ribosomal RNA". It matches the Rfam family "Bacterial small subunit ribosomal RNA", at positions 334 to 798 of the family's 1533-position model. The record is from RNAcentral.